UAAAACGUAGGUGGCGAGCGUUAUCCGGAUUUACUGGGCGUAAAGCGUGUGCAGAUGGGGUAACAAGUGGUGUAUGAAAUCGCUCAGCUUAACUGGGCGGGGUUAUGCCAGACUGUUAUUCUAGAGAACGGGAGAGGGACGUGGAAUUCCGGGUGUAGUGGUGAAAUGCGUAGAGAUCCGGAGGAACCCCUGAGGCGAAGGCGGCGUCCUGGCCCGAUUCUGACAUUCAGACACGACAGCAUGGGGAGCGAACGGGAUUAGAAACCCCGGUAGUCCAUGCCGUAAACGAUGUCAACUAGGCGCUGGGGGACUCAACCCCCUCGGUGCCGCAGCUAACGCGAUAAGUUGACCGCCUGGGGAGUACGGUCGCAAGGCUA
RNAcentral lists this ribosomal RNA (377 nucleotides) under uncultured bacterium. RNAcentral describes it as "bacterial SSU rRNA". It matches the Rfam family "Bacterial small subunit ribosomal RNA", at positions 521 to 896 of the family's 1533-position model. The record is from RNAcentral.